GUAACAAGGUUUCCGUAGGUGAACCUGCGGAAGGAUCAUUACUAAGUAUAGGAUGGCCCAUUCACGUGCCUGGUCAUUCCAGGGGCGGAAGGGGACGGCCCGCGUCGGAAUGCCAUCUGGCCGUGGCCCGGCCUCCAAUCUCUCUCUGCGUACCUUUCCCUGUUGCUUCCCCGGGAGGGCGACAUGCCACCCGGGGAAGGCCCUCCUAGAGCACAACGAUGCCGGCAAACGCACCGGUAGAACUCACCACCCAGGCCGUCCGAUGCCCGGCGCACCAAUCAGGGCGCAGGGAGCCAGGACGUGGACCGCAAACAAAUAGAAAAAAACUUUCAACAACGGAUCUCUUGGUUCCCGCAUCGAUGAAGAACGCAGCGAAAUGCGAUAAGUAAUGUGAAUUGCAGAAUUCAGUGAACCAUCGAAUCUUUGAACGCACAUUGCGCCCCUUGGCAUUCCGGGGGGCAUGCCUGUUCGAGCGUGUCCGAGAAGUAGGCUCACGCGGCGAGACGCGUGGUUGUGCUGGAGGCGGCGGUCCCGACAGGGCGGCCUUCCCGGCGGAAUCGAUGGGCGGAUGCCUGCCGCUUCGCAGAGCGUGAUAUUCUUUGCUAUCGCCUCGAGGGCGGCGAGGCGUCCAGCCCGAGCGACCAAGCACGGCGGGGGGAAUGUGACAUUCGGAACUCCUCGAAUCAGGUAGGGAUACCCGCUGAACUUAAGCAUAUCA
This 718-nucleotide ribosomal RNA is filed under the name Helvella cf. lacunosa RG-2012. Its description in RNAcentral is "eukaryotic LSU rRNA". The stretch from base 325 to 478 matches the Rfam family "5.8S ribosomal RNA". The record is from RNAcentral. Lineage: Eukaryota; Fungi; Ascomycota; Pezizomycetes; Pezizales; Helvellaceae.